UACGUAGGGUGCAAGCGUUGUCCGGAAUUAUUGGGCGUAAAGAGCUCGUAGGCGGUUUGUCGCGUCUGCUGUGAAAACUCGGGGCUUAACCCCGGGCCUGCAGUGGGUACGGGCAGACUAGAGUGCGGUAGGGGAGACUGGAAUUCCUGGUGUAGCGGUGGAAUGCGCAGAUAUCAGGAGGAACACCGGUGGCGAAGGCAGGUCUCUGGGCCAUUACUGACACUGAGAAGCGAAAGCAUGGGGAGCGAACAGG
Molecule: ribosomal RNA, 253 nt
Filed under: uncultured bacterium
Lineage: Bacteria
Description: partial 16S ribosomal RNA
Rfam family: Bacterial small subunit ribosomal RNA
Source: RNAcentral